CCUACGGGGGGCUGCAGUGGGGAAUAUUGGACAAUGGGGGCAACCCUGAUCCAGCCAUGCCGCGUGUGUGAAGAAGGCCCUCGGGUUGUAAAGCACUUUCAGUGAGGAAGAACGCCUGGUGGUUAAUACCCAUCAGGAAAGACAUCACUCACAGAAGAAGCACCGGCUAACUCCGUGCCAGCAGCCGCGGUAAUACGGAGGGUGCGAGCGUUAAUCGGAAUUACUGGGCGUAAAGCGCGCGUAGGUGGCUUGAUAAGCCGGUUGUGAAAGCCCCGGGCUCAACCUGGGAACGGCAUCCGGAACUGUCAAGCUAGAGGGCAGGAGAGGAAGGUAGAAUUCCCGGUGUAGCGGUGAAAUGCGUAGAGAUCGGGAGGAAUACCAGUGGCGAAGGCGGCCUUCUGGACUGACACUGACACUGAGGUGCGAAAGCGUGGGUAGCAAACAGGAUUAGAUACCCGUGUAGUC
RNAcentral lists this ribosomal RNA (465 nucleotides) under Vreelandella stevensii. RNAcentral's name for it is "partial 16S ribosomal RNA". It matches the Rfam family "Bacterial small subunit ribosomal RNA", at positions 338 to 795 of the family's 1533-position model. The record is from RNAcentral. Lineage: Bacteria; Pseudomonadati; Pseudomonadota; Gammaproteobacteria; Oceanospirillales; Halomonadaceae.